GCUUGAGAUAACACCGUUACUUUAGCUAGAUCAACAUGAUUGAUAUCAUUGCAGCAUUUCACCGUGUCAUUGUAGUCUCUGGUUUUCAAAGUGUUGAUGUUCAAGAAGAAUUGCAAUCAGACUCCGUUCCCUAUACCCCAGGAAGAUUGUAUCUGUGAAAAAGCUGGAGUUCUUUCAAACAAAGGACCCACACAUAUCCAAAUUAUCACGUGAUCACUAAAGUGACCCUUUUUGGGGGUGCUCACAAUGUGCUGAGCAUAAAGGAAAUCAGGUUAUUUCCUUCCCGCCGCCCCAUGAUGGGGAUGCUACUGGAAAAAGUGUAAGAGGUCAAAGAGCACAUCUGAACUGUCUUUAAUGCAGAGUUCUUACCGCAAGGCCGAGCACGCUGGCACUCCACGGCUCCACUGACUGACUGACCACCUACAACUGUUUGACUGAGGUUGCCAAGCAGGCUUGGCACACACGUCCUCAAUUAACAGAUUGGAUAGUUGCUAAUUAUCUGGAUGAAGGAUUUGGCUCCCUCAGCUCGCCUUUUCCUGCAAACAGGAAGGAAAAGAUUCCACCAGAGUGUUCUGAAUUAUUGGAAUUUGUCCCCUGUGGCCCACCGUGAUGUCACACUGACAUUUUCUUGCAAGUAGUUUUUG
Molecule: long non-coding RNA, 644 nt
Organism: Bos taurus (domestic cattle)
Lineage: Eukaryota; Metazoa; Chordata; Mammalia; Artiodactyla; Bovidae
Source: Ensembl